This 465-nucleotide ribosomal RNA is filed under the name uncultured bacterium. RNAcentral's name for it is "partial 16S ribosomal RNA". It matches the Rfam family "Bacterial small subunit ribosomal RNA", at positions 28 to 507 of the family's 1533-position model. The record is from RNAcentral.
GACGAACGCUGGCGGCGUGCUUAACACAUGCAAGUCGAACGGAAAGGCCCCUUUGGGGGUCCUCGAGUGGCGAACGGGUGAGUAACACGUGAGUAACCUGCCCUUGACUUCGGGAUAACUUCAGGAAACUGGGGCUAAUACCGGAUAGGAAUCCUUGCUGCAUGGUGGGGGUUGGAAAGCUUCAGCGGUUUUGGAUGGACUCGCGGCUUAUCAGCUUGUUGGUGGGGUAGUGGCUUACCAAGGCUUUGACGGGUAGCCGGCCUGAGAGGGCGACCGGCCACAUUGGGACUGGGAUACGGCCCAGACUCCUACGGGAGGCAGCAGUGGGGAAUAUUGCACAAUGGGCGGAAGCCUGAUGCAGCAACGCCGCGUGCGGGAUGACGGCCUUCGGGUUGUAAACCGCUUUCAGCAGGGGCGAAGCUUGUGGUGACGGUACCUGCAGAAGAAGCACCGGCUAACUACGUG